RNAcentral lists this ribosomal RNA (253 nucleotides) under uncultured bacterium. RNAcentral describes it as "partial 16S ribosomal RNA". It matches the Rfam family "Bacterial small subunit ribosomal RNA", at positions 524 to 776 of the family's 1533-position model. The record is from RNAcentral.
UACAGAGGUCUCGAGCGUUAGGCGGAAUCACUGGGCUUAAAGCGUGUGUAGGCGGUCUGCUAAGUUUGAUGUGAAAUCCCGGGGCUCAACCCUGGAAUGGCAUUGAAUACUGGCGGACUAGAGUACCGGAGAGGAAACUGGAAUUUACGGUGUAGCAGUGAAAUGCGUAGAGAUCGUAAGGAAGACCAGUGGCGAAGGCGAGUUUCUGGACGGUAACUGACGCUGAGGCACGAAGGCCAGGGGAGCAAACGGG